This is a non-coding RNA of Bos taurus (domestic cattle), 73 nucleotides long. The record is from Rfam. Lineage: Eukaryota; Metazoa; Chordata; Mammalia; Artiodactyla; Bovidae.
UCCCUGGUGGCUUAGAGGGUAAAAGCGUCCGCCUGCAAUGUGGGAGACCCGGGUUCAAUCCCUGAGUCGGGAA